UACGUAGGGGGCAAGCGUUGUCCGGAAUCAUUGGGCGUAAAGAGCGUGUAGGCGGCUCGAUAAGUCCGCUGUGAAAGUCCAGGGCUCAACCCUGGAAGGCCGGUGGAAACUGUCGGGCUAGAGUCCGGAAGAGGCGAGUGGAAUUCCCCGGUGUAGCGGUGAAAUGCGCAGAUAUCGGGAGGAACACCAAUGGCGAAGGCAGCUCGCUGGGACGGUACUGACGCUGAGACGCGAAAGCGUGGGGAGCAAACAGG
This 254-nucleotide ribosomal RNA is filed under the name uncultured bacterium. RNAcentral's name for it is "partial 16S ribosomal RNA". It matches the Rfam family "Bacterial small subunit ribosomal RNA", at positions 524 to 776 of the family's 1533-position model. The record is from RNAcentral.